UAUUAAAUAUUUCAUUCAUUUGUACUAUUACAAACUAGCAGGACUAAUGGAAUAACUAGACAUUGAUAUUGACUUGCCACGUGUAUCUUAGUUUGUAACCGUAGAAAUGAAUGAAGUUUUUAAUA
This is a non-coding RNA of Gossypium raimondii (Peruvian cotton), 125 nucleotides long. The record is from Rfam. Lineage: Eukaryota; Viridiplantae; Streptophyta; Magnoliopsida; Malvales; Malvaceae.